AGUGACAACAUUGCGGGACGACAUGAGGUCAAACCAGUGGUCCAUCUUAUCCAAAAACCAUGCCGUUGUAAGGCUCUAGGACACCUCUGGACAAAUUGGGUGCCAGCUUAAGUGCCAUGCCCUCUUGGAAGGACACCAGAUCAUUUAAAGGGGCAACAGAGACCUCACUGGACGGCAGCUGCUCCUUUUCCACCACAUCCUGAGGUCACCCCAAAGGACUUCCACAUUGCUCUAUUGGGGCUCCCCAUGUCUGUGGUGAUGUUAAGCACAUGAAGCCCUACAGAUGCUGCCGCUUCAACAAUGCUGACU
Long non-coding RNA from Fundulus heteroclitus (mummichog), 309 nucleotides. RefSeq lists it as uncharacterized. The transcript is spliced from 3 exons. NCBI's taxonomy places the organism in Eukaryota, Metazoa, Chordata, Actinopteri, Cyprinodontiformes, Fundulidae. The record is from RefSeq and is a predicted model, not a curated record.